RNAcentral lists this ribosomal RNA (410 nucleotides) under Acanthamoeba lenticulata. RNAcentral's name for it is "SSU rRNA". It matches the Rfam family "Eukaryotic small subunit ribosomal RNA", at positions 740 to 1082 of the family's 1831-position model. Lineage: Eukaryota; Discosea; Longamoebia; Acanthamoebidae. The record is from RNAcentral.
GGCCCAGAGUGUUUACCGUGAAAAAAUUAGAGUGUUCAAAGCGGGCAGAUAUUUUUCCUGCCACCGAAUACAUUAGCAUGGGAUAAUGGAAUAGGACCCUGACCUCCUAUUUUCAGUUGGUUUUGUUUACAGCGAGGUUAUAUCAGGGUAAUGAUUAAUAGGGAUAGUUGGGGGCAUUAAUAUUUAAUUGUCAGAGGUGAAAUUCUUGGAUUUAUGAAAGAUUAACUUCUGCGAAAGCGUUUGCCAAGGAUGUUUUCAUUAAUCAAGAACGAAAGUUAGGGGAUCGAAGACGAUCAGAUACCGUCGUAGUCUUAACCAUAAACGAUGCCGACCAGCGAUUAGGAGACGUUGAAUACAAAACACCGCCGUUAAUCCUUUCGGGGGUUAAUGGUUGGUGAAUGACUCCCCUA